UCCGCAGCGCAGCCCGCACCCAGCCGCCUCUCCCGUUCCUCCGCACACGGGCAGCCGCGGUCCACUGUGGGGCAGUCGUCGUUGGCAUCGCGCGCAAGUGAACCGGAGCAAACGACUUCCGAUCCAGUCUGCGCUGCUGCGGCUCCCGUUUGGGAUUUGAUUUGUAGCAUCUUUGAGCCUCUACGACAAAAAAUCGCGAAGCACGCCCAGCCCUCCCCCGGCACCCCGAAAAGCACCCACUCCCUCCCGGGGACACAGCUGGGCGCGUCCACACCCCCGCAGCCCCACACCAUGUUGUGCGGAAGGACUUCCACUCCCCGCCUGUGUCGUUGAUGUCAGACCCCAGGCCAGCCUCCGGGCUCUGCAGUUCUCCCGGCUAAUGCUGAGGCUGCGGCUCCGGCUCUAGCACAGGCACCAGCCGCCGCCGCACCCGGCCCCGGCGCCCACCGUCUGCAUGUGCCCGCCGUAGCCAUCUGUCCAGCCC
Molecule: small RNA, 484 nt
Filed under: Pongo abelii (Sumatran orangutan)
Lineage: Eukaryota; Metazoa; Chordata; Mammalia; Primates; Hominidae
Description: processed transcript
Source: RNAcentral